GGUUAAGCGACUAAGCGUACACGGUGGAUGCCCUGGCAGUCAGAGGCGAUGAAGGACGUGCUAAUCUGCGAUAAGCGUCGGUGAGGUGAUAUGAACCGUUAUAACCGGCGAUUUCCGAAUGGGGAAACCCAGUGUGUUUCGACACACUAUCAUUAACUGAAUCCAUAGGUUAAUGAGGCGAACCGGGGGAACUGAAACAUCUAAGUACCCCGAGGAAAAGAAAUCAACCGAGAUUCCCCCAGUAGCGGCGAGCGAACGGGGAGGAGCCCAGAGCCUGAAUCAGUGUGUGUGUUAGUGGAAGCGUCUGGAAAGGCGCGCGAUACAGGGUGACAGCCCCGUACACAAAAAUGCACAUAUUGUGAGCUCGAUGAGUAGGGCGGGACACGUGGUAUCCUGUCUGAAUAUGGGGGGACCAUCCUCCAAGGCUAAAUACUCCUGACUGACCGAUAGUGAACCAGUACCGUGAGGGAAAGGCGAAAAGAACCCCGGCGAGGGGAGUGAAAAAGAACCUGAAACCGUGUACGUACAAGCAGUGGGAGCCUCUUAAUGGGGUGACUGCGUACCUUUUGUAUAAUGGGUCAGCGACUUAUAUUCUGUAGCAAGGUUAACCGAAUAGGGGAGCCGAAGGGAAACCGAGUCUUAACUGGGCGUUAAGUUGCAGGGUAUAGACCCGAAACCCGGUGAUCUAGCCAUGGGCAGGUUGAAGGUUGGGUAACACUAACUGGAGGACCGAACCGACUAAUGUUGAAAAAUUAGCGGAUGACUUGUGGCUGGGGGUGAAAGGCCAAUCAAACCGGGAGAUAGCUGGUUCUCCCCGAAAGCUAUUUAGGUAGCGCCUCGUGAAUUCAUCUCCGGGGGUAGAGCACUGUUUCGGCAAGGGGGUCAUCCCGACUUACCAACCCGAUGCAAACUGCGAAUACCGGAGAAUGUUAUCACGGGAGACACACGGCGGGUGCUAACGUCCGUCGUGAAGAGGGAAACAACCCAGACCGCCAGCUAAGGUCCCAAAGUCAUGGUUAAGUGGGAAACGAUGUGGGAAGGCCCAGACAGCCAGGAUGUUGGCUUAGAAGCAGCCAUCAUUUAAAGAAAGCGUAAUAGCUCACUGGUCGAGUCGGCCUGCGCGGAAGAUGUAACGGGGCUAAACCAUGCACCGAAGCUGCGGCAGCGACACUAUGUGUUGUUGGGUAGGGGAGCGUUCUGUAAGCCUGUGAAGGUGGCCUGUGAGGGUUGCUGGAGGUAUCAGAAGUGCGAAUGCUGACAUAAGUAACGAUAAAGCGGGUGAAAAGCCCGCUCGCCGGAAGACCAAGGGUUCCUGUCCAACGUUAAUCGGGGCAGGGUGAGUCGACCCCUAAGGCGAGGCCGAAAGGCGUAGUCGAUGGGAAACAGGUUAAUAUUCCUGUACUUGGUGUUACUGCGAAGGGGGGACGGAGAAGGCUAUGUUGGCCGGGCGACGGUUGUCCCGGUUUAAGCGUGUAGGCUGGUUUUCCAGGCAAAUCCGGAAAAUCAAGGCUGAGGCGUGAUGACGAGGCACUACGGUGCUGAAGCGACAAAUGCCCUGCUUCCAGGAAAAGCCUCUAAGCAUCAGGUAACAUCAAAUCGUACCCCAAACCGACACAGGUGGUCAGGUAGAGAAUACCAAGGCGCUUGAGAGAACUCGGGUGAAGGAACUAGGCAAAAUGGUGCCGUAACUUCGGGAGAAGGCACGCUGAUAUGUAGGUGAAGCGACUUGCUCGUGGAGCUGAAAUCAGUCGAAGAUACCAGCUGGCUGCAACUGUUUAUUAAAAACACAGCACUGUGCAAACACGAAAGUGGACGUAUACGGUGUGACGCCUGCCCGGUGCCGGAAGGUUAAUUGAUGGGGUUAGCGGUAACGCGAAGCUCUUGAUCGAAGCCCCGGUAAACGGCGGCCGUAACUAUAACGGUCCUAAGGUAGCGAAAUUCCUUGUCGGGUAAGUUCCGACCUGCACGAAUGGCGUAAUGAUGGCCAGGCUGUCUCCACCCGAGACUCAGUGAAAUUGAACUCGCUGUGAAGAUGCAGUGUACCCGCGGCAAGACGGAAAGACCCCGUGAACCUUUACUAUAGCUUGACACUGAACAUUGAGCCUUGAUGUGUAGGAUAGGUGGGAGGCUUUGAAGUGUGGACGCCAGUCUGCAUGGAGCCGACCUUGAAAUACCACCCUUUAAUG
RNAcentral lists this ribosomal RNA (2186 nucleotides) under Escherichia coli. RNAcentral describes it as "partial 23S ribosomal RNA". It matches the Rfam family "Bacterial large subunit ribosomal RNA", at positions 1 to 2212 of the family's 2925-position model. The record is from RNAcentral. Lineage: Bacteria; Pseudomonadati; Pseudomonadota; Gammaproteobacteria; Enterobacterales; Enterobacteriaceae.